UACGAAGGGUGCUAGCGUUGUUCGGAAUUACUGGGCGUAAAGCGCGCGUAGGCGGCCAUUCAAGUCGGGGGUGAAAGCCCAGGGCUCAACCCUGGAAUUGCCUUCGAUACUGUUUGGCUAGAGACCGGAAGAGGUAAGUGGAACUGCGAGUGUAGAGGUGAAAUUCGUAGAUAUUCGCAAGAACACCAGUGGCGAAGGCGGCUUACUGGUCCGGUUCUGACGCUGAGGCGCGAAAGCGUGGGGAGCAAACAGG
Molecule: ribosomal RNA, 253 nt
Filed under: uncultured bacterium
Lineage: Bacteria
Description: partial 16S ribosomal RNA
Rfam family: Bacterial small subunit ribosomal RNA
Source: RNAcentral